This 20-nucleotide unclassified non-coding RNA is filed under the name Chlamydomonas reinhardtii. RNAcentral describes it as "small RNA Cre_2843". Lineage: Eukaryota; Viridiplantae; Chlorophyta; Chlorophyceae; Chlamydomonadales; Chlamydomonadaceae. The record is from RNAcentral.
UGAAGACGUCAGGUGAAAGG